This 381-nucleotide ribosomal RNA is filed under the name uncultured bacterium. RNAcentral describes it as "bacterial SSU rRNA". It matches the Rfam family "Bacterial small subunit ribosomal RNA", at positions 28 to 412 of the family's 1533-position model. The record is from RNAcentral.
GACGAACGCUGGCGGCGUGCUUAACACAUGCAAGUCGAGCGGUAAGGCCCUUUCGGGGGUACACGAGCGGCGAACGGGUGAGUAACACGUGGGUGACCUGCCCUCAGCUCUGGGAUAAGCCCGGGAAACUGGGUCUAAUACCGGAUAUGACUCCAUGACGCAUGUUGUGGGGUGGAAAGCCUUGUGCGGCUGAGGAUGGGCCCGCGGCCUAUCAGCUUGUUGGUGGGGUGAUGGCCACCAAGGCGACGACGGGUAGCCGGCCUGAGAGGGCGACCGGCCACACUGGGACUGAGAUACGGCCCAGACUCCUACGGGAGGCAGCAGUGGGGAAUCUUGCGCAAUGGGCGAAAGCCUGACGCAGCGACGCCGCGUGAGGAUGAC